AUUGAACGCUGGCGGCAUGCCUUGCACAUGCAAGUCGAACGGUAACAGGUCUUCGGAUGCUGACGAGUGGCGAACGGGUGAGUAAUACAUCGGAACGUGCCCAGACGUGGGGGAUAACGAGGCGAAAGCUUUGCUAAUACCGCAUACGAUCUAAGGAUGAAAGCAGGGGACCGCAAGGCCUUGCGCGUUUGGAGCGGCCGAUGGCAGAUUAGGUAGUUGGUGGGAUAAAAGCUUACCAAGCCGACGAUCUGUAGCUGGUCUGAGAGGACGACCAGCCACACUGGGACUGAGACACGGCCCAGACUCCUACGGGAGGCAGCAGUGGGGAAUUUUGGACAAUGGGCGAAAGCCUGAUCCAGCAAUGCCGCGUGCAGGAUGAAGGCCUUCGGGUUGUAAACUGCUUUUGUACGGAACGAAAAGGCUCUGGCUAAUACCUGGGGCACAUGACGGUACCGUAAGAAUAAGCACCGGCUAACUACGUG
RNAcentral lists this ribosomal RNA (482 nucleotides) under uncultured bacterium. RNAcentral's name for it is "partial 16S ribosomal RNA". It matches the Rfam family "Bacterial small subunit ribosomal RNA", at positions 30 to 507 of the family's 1533-position model. The record is from RNAcentral.